This 305-nucleotide ribosomal RNA is filed under the name uncultured bacterium. RNAcentral describes it as "partial 16S ribosomal RNA". It matches the Rfam family "Bacterial small subunit ribosomal RNA", at positions 355 to 652 of the family's 1533-position model. The record is from RNAcentral.
UAGGGAAUCUUCCACAAUGGACGCAAGUCUGAUGGAGCAACGCGCGUGAGUGAAGAAGGUUUUCGGACCGUAAAGCUCUGUUGUUGGUGAAGAAGGAUAGAGGUAGUAACUGGCCUUUAUUUGACGGUAAUCAACCAGAAAGUCACGGCUAACUACGUGCCAGCAGCCGCGGUAAUACGUAGGUGGCAAGCGUUGUCCGGAUUUAUUGGGCGUAAAAGCGAGCGCAGGCGGAAGAAUAAGUCUGAUGUGAAAGCCCUCGGCUUAACCGAGGAAUUGCAUCGGAAACUGUUUUUCUUGAGUGCAGA